Cyprinus carpio carpio is the source of this 79-nucleotide microRNA precursor. The record is from Ensembl. Lineage: Eukaryota; Metazoa; Chordata; Actinopteri; Cypriniformes; Cyprinidae.
CAUCCAUUGACCCGGGGUUGUAUUGUAACCAAGCUAUGCAUCUGAGUUGCAUGGGUAUGAUACGACCUGGGUUACGGGA